This 465-nucleotide ribosomal RNA is filed under the name uncultured bacterium. RNAcentral describes it as "partial 16S ribosomal RNA". It matches the Rfam family "Bacterial small subunit ribosomal RNA", at positions 28 to 507 of the family's 1533-position model. The record is from RNAcentral.
GACGAACGCUGGCGGCGUGCUUAACACAUGCAAGUCGAACGGAAAGGCCCCUUUGGGGGUACUCGAGUGGCGAACGGGUGAGUAACACGUGAGUAACCUGCCCUUGACUUCGGGAUAACUUCAGGAAACUGGGGCUAAUACCGGAUAGGAAUCCUUGCUGCAUGGUGGGGGUUGGAAAGCUUCGGCGGUUUUGGAUGGACUCGCGGCUUAUCAGCUUGUUGGUGGGGUAGUGGCUUACCAAGGCUUUGACGGGUAGCCGGCCUGGGGGGGCGACCGGCCACAUUGGGACUGAGGUACGGCCCAGACUCCUACGGGAGGCAGCAGUGGGGAAUAUUGCACGAUGGGCGGAAGCCUGAUGCAGCAACGCCGCGUGCGGGAUGACGGCCUUCGGGUUGUAAACCGCUUUCAGCAGGGGCGAAGCUUGUGGUGACGGUACCUGCAGAAGAAGCACCGGCUAACUACGUG